This 845-nucleotide ribosomal RNA is filed under the name uncultured bacterium. RNAcentral's name for it is "bacterial SSU rRNA". It matches the Rfam family "Bacterial small subunit ribosomal RNA", at positions 51 to 878 of the family's 1533-position model. The record is from RNAcentral.
AUACAUGCAAGUAGAACGCUGAAGAGAGGAGCUUGCUCUUCUUGGAUGAGUUGCGAACGGGUGAGUAACGCGUAGGUAACCUGCCUUGUAGCGGGGGAUAACUAUUGGAAACGAUAGCUAAUACCGCAUAACAAUGGAUGACACAUGUCAUUUAUUUGAAAGGGGCAAUUGUUCCACUACAAGAUGGACCUGCGUUGUAUUAGCUAGUAGGUGAGGUAAUGGCUCACCUAGGCGACGAUACAUAGCCGACCUGAGAGGGUGAUCGGCCACACUGGGACUGAGACACGGCCCAGACUCCUACGGGAGGCAGCAGUAGGGAAUCUUCGGCAAUGGGGGCAACCCUGACCGAGCAACGCCGCGUGAGUGAAGAAGGUUUUCGGAUCGUAAAGCUCUGUUGUAAGUCAAGAACGGGUGUGAGAGUGGAAAGUUCACACUGUGACGGUAGCUUACCAGAAAGGGACGGCUAACUACGUGCCAGCAGCCGCGGUAAUACGUAGGUCCCGAGCGUUGUCCGGAUUUAUUGGGCGUAAAGCGAGCGCAGGCGGUUUGAUAAGUCUGAAGUUAAAGGCUGUGGCUCAACCAUAGUUCGCUUUGGAAACUGUCAAACUUGAGUGCAGAAGGGGAGAGUGGAAUUCCAUGUGUAGCGGUGAAAUGCGUAGAUGUAUGGAGGAACGCCGGUGGCGAAAGCGGCUCUCUGGUCUGUAACUGACGCUGAGGCUCGAAAGCGUGGGGAGCGAACAGGAUUAGAUACCCUGGUAGUCCACGCCGUAAACGAUGAGUGCUAGGUGUUGGAUCCUUUCCGGGAUUCAGUGCCGCAGCUAACGCAUUAAGCACUCCGCCUGGGG